RNAcentral lists this transfer RNA (75 nucleotides) under Clostridia bacterium. Its description in RNAcentral is "tRNA-Asn". It matches the Rfam family "tRNA". Rfam says of the family: Transfer RNA (tRNA) molecules are approximately 80 nucleotides in length. Their secondary structure includes four short double-helical elements and three loops (D, anti-codon, and T loops). RNAcentral also lists the same sequence under 2 other names. The record is from RNAcentral. Lineage: Bacteria; Bacillati; Bacillota; Clostridia.
UCCGCGAUAGCUCAAUGGUGGAGCACUCGGCUGUUAACCGAUAGGUUGAAGGUUCAAGUCCUUUUCGCGGAGCCA